AGUUGGUCCGAAGGUUGUGGGUUAUUGUUAAACUGUUUAACAUUGUCUCCCCCCCACAGCCCCACUUGACUAGCUUGGCCUUUU
RNAcentral lists this Y RNA (84 nucleotides) under Castor canadensis (American beaver). RNAcentral's name for it is "Y RNA (ENSCCNG00000007324.1)". It matches the Rfam family "Y RNA". Rfam says of the family: Y RNAs are components of the Ro ribonucleoprotein particle (Ro RNP), in association with Ro60 and La proteins. The Y RNAs and Ro60 and La proteins are well conserved, but the function of the Ro RNP is not known. Lineage: Eukaryota; Metazoa; Chordata; Mammalia; Rodentia; Castoridae. The record is from Rfam by way of RNAcentral.